RNAcentral lists this ribosomal RNA (381 nucleotides) under uncultured bacterium. Its description in RNAcentral is "bacterial SSU rRNA". It matches the Rfam family "Bacterial small subunit ribosomal RNA", at positions 42 to 451 of the family's 1533-position model. The record is from RNAcentral.
UCAGGCCUAACACAUGCAAGUCGAGCGAGACCUUCGGGUCUAGCGGCGGACGGGUGAGUAACGCGUGGGAACGUGCCCUUUGGUUCGGAAUAGCCCCGGGAAACUGGGAGUAAUACCGGAUGAGCCCUACGGGGGAAAGAUUUAUCGCCGAAGGAUCGGCCCGCGUUGGAUUAGGUAGUUGGUGGGGUAAUGGCCUACCAAGCCGACGAUCCAUAGCUGGUUUGAGAGGAUGAUCAGCCACACUGGGACUGAGACACGGCCCAGACUCCUACGGGAGGCAGCAGUGGGGAAUCUUAGACAAGGGGGGAAACCCUGAUCUAGCCAUGCCGCGUGAGUGAAAGAGGCCUUAGGGUUGUAAAGCUCUUUCAGUGGGGAAGAUAA